ACUCCUACGGGAGGCAGCAGUGAGGAAUAUUGGUCAAUGGGCGAAAGCCUGAACCAGCCAUGCCGCGUGCAGGAUGACUGCCCUAUGGGUUGUAAACUGCUUUUAUACAGGAAUAAACCCCCGGACGUGUCCGGGGCUGAAGGUACUGUAAGAAUAAGGAUCGGCUAACUCCGUGCCAGCAGCCGCGGUAAUACGGAGGAUCCAAGCGUUAUCCGGAUUCAUUGGGUUUAAAGGGUCCGCAGGCGGGGUAUUAAGUCAGUGGUGAAAGCCGGCAGCUUAACUGUCGAAUUGCCAUUGAUACUGGUACUCUUGAGUGUAGUUGAAGUAGGCGGAAUAAGUCAUGUAGCGGUGAAAUGCAUAGAUAUGACUUAGAACACCGAUUGCGAAGGCAGCUUACUAAGCUAUUACUGACGCUCAUGGACGAAAGCGUGGGGAGCGAACAGGAUUAGAUACCCUGGUAGGAUAG
Molecule: ribosomal RNA, 466 nt
Filed under: uncultured bacterium
Lineage: Bacteria
Description: bacterial SSU rRNA
Rfam family: Bacterial small subunit ribosomal RNA
Source: RNAcentral